Long non-coding RNA from Zophobas morio, 267 nucleotides. RefSeq lists it as uncharacterized. Lineage: Eukaryota; Metazoa; Arthropoda; Insecta; Coleoptera; Tenebrionidae. The record is from RefSeq and is a predicted model, not a curated record. The transcript is spliced from 2 exons.
UAAAUUUCAGGAAAAUACAGAACUGUUGAGCAGAAUGUGGGCUAAAAUUAACAACAAACCAUUGCCAAAUCAAUAUGGGCCAGAAAUAAGAAAAUUUGCCGUUACAACACAUUUCUACUCCCCAAAGGCUUUUUCUUUUAUAAGAAAACAAUUCAUGGACUGUCUUCCACACCCAAAAACUUUGUCUGUAUGGUAUUCUUCAGUGAAUGGUGCACCAGGUUUCACAAUGUUCGAUGAAGUUGCUAUUAAACGCUGCAUUGAAUAUGA